This 429-nucleotide ribosomal RNA is filed under the name bacterium. RNAcentral describes it as "partial 16S ribosomal RNA". It matches the Rfam family "Bacterial small subunit ribosomal RNA", at positions 355 to 776 of the family's 1533-position model. The record is from RNAcentral.
UAGGGAAUCUUCCACAAUGGACGCAAGUCUGAUGGAGCAACGCCGCGUGAGUGAAGAAGGUUUUCGGAUCGUAAAGCUCUGUUGUUGGUGAAGAAGGAUAGAGGCAGUAACUGGUCUUUAUUUGACGGUAAUCAACCAGAAAGUCACGGCUAACUACGUGCCAGCAGCCGCGGUAAUACGUAGGUGGCAAGCGUUGUCCGGAUUUAUUGGUCGUAAAGCGAGCGCAGGCGGAAUGAUAAGUCUGAUGUGAAAGCCCACGGCUCAACCGUGGAAAUGAAUCGGAAACUGUAAUUCUUGAGUGCAGAAGAGGAGAGUGGAAUUCCAUGUGUAGGGGUGGAAUGCGUAGAUAUAUGGAAGAACACCAGUGGCGAAGGCGGGUCUCUGGUCUGCAACUGACGCUGAGGCUCGAAAGCAUGGGUAGCGAACAGG